RNAcentral lists this small nucleolar RNA (72 nucleotides) under Halococcus saccharolyticus DSM 5350. Lineage: Archaea; Methanobacteriati; Methanobacteriota; Halobacteria; Halobacteriales; Halococcaceae. The record is from RNAcentral.
GGCCGAUGACGAGGCGUGGUUCCGAGCCGGACUCGGCACCCGGUGCUGACGAGCCCUAUGAGUACCGAGGCC